RNAcentral lists this long non-coding RNA (1557 nucleotides) under Fukomys damarensis (Damara mole-rat). RNAcentral's name for it is "lncRNA (ENSFDAG00000025234.1)". The record is from RNAcentral. Lineage: Eukaryota; Metazoa; Chordata; Mammalia; Rodentia; Bathyergidae.
AUGUCCUUGGGAGUUCACGGAGGUUUGGCAGUGAGAGGACAAAAACAAAACCAGGCAGAGAGGGAGUGUUGCCCAGACUUUCCCAACAUCCCCAGGGUGCUGGUAAACUUUCUGCGGUCCAGACUGUACCAGGGGAGCAGCUUCAGGAUCCAGGCACAUGAAAAGUCACACAAAUGUGCAGUUGGUGGCACUGGAAGACGGCAUGGCCAACAGACUCACAAAUGUCAAAGGAACAGAGGCAGCAUCUGAGCUAGGCAGCCACAGAAAGGUCAUAUUGUUCUGAACAAAACAAGUAACUUUUACUGGACAGAAUACAAUGGCCAGCUACUGUGUUCAGGCAUUGUGUGGGACAAUAGGGAAAUAAAAGAGGAGAACAUUCAGGCCAGGCAUUGAAGAAGUAGGAGCUCCCAGGAAAAACACACAUGAAUCAGAAAUUAAUGGCAAUGUAGAAAGUAUCAGGUGCACACAGAGAAAGACUGGUAGAUGAAAGAAGACAUGAACCCUACCUGGGAAAAUCAGGAAAGGCUUCACAGUGUGCAGGAGCUUCAUGCCAAUUAUAAUUUGCUUUAGCUAAUUUGUGUAAACAAUUAUGUCCAUUUCAACUUUUUAUUUUACUGAUUAAAGACAUUGAUUAGUUGCUCAGUUAAGUUAGCUAGGACUUUUGUACUUUUAUACACAGACAAUCACAUCUUCUUUACCAUUCAUGCGCUCAUUCACUCAUUAAUGCAGAUCACCCAUUUAAUCACAGCCUACUGAACGCCUUUUAGGUGCCACUUCUGAGUUCAACAAGCAGUAAAUCAUAUCAAGUCUCUAACCUCCUGAAAUUUGUCCUGUAUUCAGGCUCACAAAUGGGAAUCAAAAUCUCUCAAAUAAAUAUACAGCUAGAGGACACAAAAACAUAUUCAUGCCCAACCUAGACUUUUAACAAUAGACGCUAUAACCUUGAAAUAAGAAGAAGGACACUGUAGUGUGACAUAAAGGAGGAAGCUGAUGGAACAACACCUGACCUGAGGCCUAAAGCAUGUGCAAGUGUAGGGAAGGGGUACAAGGCCUCAUACCCAAGCAUUACCUUGCUAUAGGCCCUGUAGGUGAAGCAGGGUGCAUACAGGGUAAAGAAAGGAGUGAAAAUUCAAGGAAGGAUGGGUACAAUAAGCACCGGAGAAUUCAGGAAAGUCAGUGUUGUCUGAAUCUUGCAAGCCCUUUUUGGGAUUUCCUUUCUCAGAACAAUGGGAAACUGCAGGGUAUUAAAUGUGGGAGUAAAUAAUUGAUUUCCAGGUGGUUGCAACGUGGUGAACAGAUUCAACGUUUUCAGCUCUUCCCACCAUUCUACUGCAUUUGUCUGAGUUGGGUUCUCUCUUUUAAUCUUCUUGCUAUGAUGCUGACCCUGUUUCUGACAUGGGUGCAAUGUUUUCUAUCUGCCAGGCAUUGUCUUAGCUGCUUUCAAUGGAUUAUUUAAUCUUUUCAAUAAUCUUACAAGUUAGCAUCUUUUCAUGCCCUGUAUCACAGAUGUGGUAAAAUAGGCACUAAAAAUUUGGGUAACUUGUCUAAGGUCACAGA